RNAcentral lists this non-coding RNA (198 nucleotides) under uncultured Desulfobacterium sp. Lineage: Bacteria; Pseudomonadati; Thermodesulfobacteriota; Desulfobacteria; Desulfobacterales; Desulfobacteriaceae. The record is from RNAcentral.
GUCUUCGCGAGAAGUUGUCUGAAGGAAGCCCGAGCGCAAGGCUGUGAGUCAAGCCUGCCCCGGACCUGAUCCGGGGAACAGAAAUGGCAUAUAAGGCCCAGUCUCCGGGGAAGUCAGCACGACAUGACAACGCCCUGAGUUCAGGGUUUAGUAUGAAUUGCGUACUAACCAUGCCCCGGAUGUCGGGCGGGAUCAGAA